CAAUUACUCCCUCCAUCCGGAAAUACUUGUCAUCAAAAUGGAUAAAAGGGGAAGUAUCUAGAUGUAUUGUAGUUCUAGAUACAUCUCUUUUUAUCCAUGUGAUGACAAGUAUUUUCGGACGAAGGGAGUAUUCA
Triticum aestivum (bread wheat) is the source of this 134-nucleotide non-coding RNA. The record is from Rfam. Lineage: Eukaryota; Viridiplantae; Streptophyta; Magnoliopsida; Poales; Poaceae.